This 406-nucleotide ribosomal RNA is filed under the name uncultured bacterium. Its description in RNAcentral is "partial 16S ribosomal RNA". It matches the Rfam family "Bacterial small subunit ribosomal RNA", at positions 30 to 526 of the family's 1533-position model. The record is from RNAcentral.
AUUGAACGCUGGCGGCAGGCCUAACACAUGCAAGUCGAACGAGUGGCGGACGGGUGAGUAAUGUCUGGGAAACUGCCUGAUGGAGGGGGAUAACUACUGGAAACGGUAGCUAAUACCGCAUACCAUCGGAUGUGCCCAAGUGGGAUUAGUUAGUGGGUGGGGUAAAGGCUCACCUAGGCGCCGAUCCCUAGCUGGUCUGAGAGGAUGACCAGCCACACUGGGACUGAGACACGGUCCAGACUCCUACGGGAGGCAGCAGUGGGGAAUAUUGCGCAAUGGGCGCAAGCCUGAUGCAGCCAUGCCGCGGGAAUGAAGAAGGCCUUCGGGUUGUAAAGUUCUUUCGGCGGGGAGGCGGUAAUCACAGAAGAAGCACCGGCUAACUCCGUGCCAGCAGCCGCGGUAAUAC